This 468-nucleotide long non-coding RNA is filed under the name Homo sapiens (human). Its description in RNAcentral is "non-protein coding lnc-DHX8-2:1". Lineage: Eukaryota; Metazoa; Chordata; Mammalia; Primates; Hominidae. The record is from RNAcentral.
AUGGCCAAGUCCAAGAACCACAGCACAAACAACCAGUCCCGAAAAAGGCACAGAAAUGGUAUCAAGAAACCCCGAUCACGAAGAUAUGAAUCUCUUAAGGGGAUGGACCCCAAGUUCCCGAGGAACAUGUGCUUUGCCAAGAAGCAAAACAAGAAGGUCCUAAAGAAGAUGCAGGCCAACAGUGACAAGGCCAUGAGUGCACGUGCUGAGGUUAUCAAGGCCCUCGUAAAGCCCAAGGAGGUUAAGCUCAAGAUCCCAAAGGGUGUCAGCUGCAAGCUCGAUCGACUUGCCUACAUUGCCCACCCCAAGCUUGGGAAGCGGGCUCGUGCCCGCAUUGCCAAGGGGCUCAGGCUGUGCUGGCCAAAGGCCAAGGCCAAGGAUCAAACCAAGGCCCAGGCUGCAGCUCCAGCUUCAGUUCCAGCUCAGGCUCCCAAAGGUGCCCAGGCCCCUACAAAGGCUUCAGAGUAG